CAAGCCGCGGUAAUUCCAGCUCCAAUAGCGUAUAUUAAAGUUGUUGCAGUUAAAAAGCUCGUAGUUGAAUUUCGGGAUCAAUUUAUUGGUCGUGCUAUUGUACGUACUGGUAUUAUUGAUUCCUACCUUCUGACGAACCAUGAUGUCAUUAAUUUGGUGUCAUGGGGAAUCAGGACUGUUACUUUGAAAAAAUUAGAGUGUUUAAAGCAGGCUCACGCUUGAAUACAUUAGCAUGGAAUAACGAAAUAGGACGUUUGAUUCUAUUUUGUUGGUUUCUAGGAUCGACGUAAUGAUUAAUAGGGAUAGUUGGGGGCAUUAGUAUUCAAUUGUCAGAGGUGAAAUUCUUGGAUUUAUUGAAGACUAACUACUGCGAAAGCAUUUGCCAAGGAUGUUUUCAUUAAUCAAGAACGAAAGUUAGGGGAUCGAAGACGAUCAGAUACCGUCGUAGUCUUAACCAUAAACUAUGCCGACUAGGGAUCGGAUGAUGUUAAUUUUUUAAUGACUCAUUCGGCGCCUUACG
Molecule: unclassified non-coding RNA, 520 nt
Filed under: uncultured Glomeromycotina
Lineage: Eukaryota; Fungi; Glomeromycota
Description: SSU rRNA
Rfam family: Eukaryotic small subunit ribosomal RNA
Source: RNAcentral